This 205-nucleotide long non-coding RNA is filed under the name Mytilus galloprovincialis (Mediterranean mussel). The record is from RNAcentral. Lineage: Eukaryota; Metazoa; Mollusca; Bivalvia; Mytilida; Mytilidae.
CGGAAGGCAUUGUUUACCAGGUGAGCGAUUCAGGCUCUUGAGAGCCUCUUGUUGUUAAGGCUAUGGUGCAAAUAUAACAGCAAUGCACUAAAUCAAAGAAACUAUUUUAUCAAAUUCAGUUAAGAGGUUUAUAAAUGCACAUCGCUUGUACAAAAGAAAAUGUACAAAUUUAAAAAAAAACUAAGGCUUAUUUUAUACUUCAAAC